AACCUUUCACAAUAGAGAAAAGAUAAAGAAGUGGGAAAAAUAUUAUCCAGGAGUAAUACUGAUCUGCAGGAAGUGUUGGACAAGUUCCAGCGGUCGAAAGAGCCUAGGACUAGAGGAAUGAGGAAAAUGGGAAGUGGUGUUUAUGGCCUGGCUGAGCGUGUCUGGGUGACGUUCGUGUGUGACUCCUCACCAAGGUGCUGUUUUACGAGUGGUGUUUCGUGCCCGCAGGGGUUCUGUCAGCUCUUCCUCACAAUCGCCCUGUGAAAGUGAAGACAGUCGGCCUGGAGGAAGGACCGGGGGAGAAGAUGAAGAGAAGAGAGUCCUCGGUGAGGAGGCUGUCUGGAGUUCGGAGAAGCUCCUGGGAGGAAGCGGAAAGCAAAGAGGCGCUCGAAGCCAAAGCCCAAACUGCCCCCCCUGUUCCUGAGCGUUACAUCGAAGCACUAGAGGUACGCUGUACGGAUCUUGGUGCUUAUAGUGUCACCUUUAAUUGUGGAAACGUUUAGUAAGGUGGAUGGUGGUCCUUUACAAAUGCUUUAUAGGUGUGUUCACUCGUGCAUUUAAUUGCUUCUUGUGGACCCAUACCCAACAGCUACAAGUCACUGUUUUUACUGUGCUCGUGUCUGUGCGCUUAUGAAAUACACAAGACCGCUGUACCCAGAUUACUGUUAAGCUGUUGUGGGAGAGAAAUGCAGGUUUUUUAGAUCAGUUGUACCACAGGAGGGCUUUUCCUUUCUGCCGGUUGAGCUGAACAGCGCUGACAGAAAGGACGACGGUGAGGGGAGGUGAAAUGCUUCCCCCACCUCCCCAAAGAGGAGGGCAAUCCUGUGCGCUGCUGUCUUUCUGUGCUCCCUCAGGAGAUGGAGAAGCUCACUGUGGAGCGGCAUUCACGAAGAGUCCUGACGGCUGCUGCCCCGGGGAAGGAGAAAAAAGCGGAGGCAGAUUGGGCAGAGGGUGAGGCUCAGAGAGCAGAGAAUAAUACACGCAGGACCCAGGUACAGCAGGCAUUUCAAAACAUCCUGGAAAGUAGCCUGCCUUUGCAGGGAAGCUGAAUUUUGAUGCUAUCAGUUACCAGCGGUGCCCAGGAGGUGACUGUUGUCUCUCAGCUUGGCAACUCCUGACCAGGAGAGAAGCUCUCAACCCAAACCAGGGUGGGAAGAGCAGCUCGCUGUGCUGAGGACACACGCUGAUCAUCCCGGCCUCGAGCCUCCUUGGCCCAAAGGGAUGGCUCUUAGCUAGGAACACAAAUUCUGCCCCAGAGAUGGCUUCAGCCAGUUGUGCCCAGCCAUCCUGUACGGGGAGAGCUCCAGGUCACGGUCACUAGAUCUAGAAUAGCUUGAUGAGAAAUACUGCUGUGAAGACUGCCAUGUUUUUGUAAAUUCAUUUACAUAAUUAAGAAUCAGGACUUGAUCCCCAAGCCCCUGACAUGAAAAUAAAAGUUUCUUUUGGCUUCA
This 1451-nucleotide long non-coding RNA is filed under the name Anser brachyrhynchus (Pink-footed goose). RNAcentral's name for it is "lncRNA (ENSABRG00000005051.1)". Lineage: Eukaryota; Metazoa; Chordata; Aves; Anseriformes; Anatidae. The record is from RNAcentral.